Molecule: ribosomal RNA, 253 nt
Filed under: uncultured bacterium
Lineage: Bacteria
Description: partial 16S ribosomal RNA
Rfam family: Bacterial small subunit ribosomal RNA
Source: RNAcentral
UACGGAGGGUGCAAGCGUUGUUCGGAAUCACUGGGCGUAAAGCGCGUGUAGGCGGUCUGCUAAGUCUGAUGUGAAAGCCCGGGGCUCACCCCCGGAAGUGCAUUGGAAACUGGCAGACUGGAGUCCCGGAGAGGAGGGUGGAAUUCCUGGUGUAGCGGUGAAAUGCGUAGAUAUCAGGAGGAACACCGGUGGCGAAGGCGGCCCUCUGGACGGUGACUGACGCUGAGACGAGAAAGCGUGGGGAGCAAACAGG